ACGCUUGAAGUCAGUCGCGUUGGCUAGAAAUCAACUUUGCUCUUGCUUUGUGUACUUUCUGGUCGACGGGUCAGCAUCAAUUUUGACCAUUGGAUAAAGUCUUUGGGAAUGUGGCAUCUCAGGAUGUGUUAUAGCCCAUUGUCGCAUACAGUGGUUGGGAUUGAGGAACUCAGCACGCCGCAAGGCCGGGUUUCGACCACGUUCGUGCUUAGGAUGCUGGCAUAAUGGCUUUAAUCGACCCGUCUUGAAACACGGACCAAGGAGUC
This 266-nucleotide ribosomal RNA is filed under the name Inocybe glabripes. RNAcentral's name for it is "partial large subunit ribosomal RNA". It matches the Rfam family "Eukaryotic large subunit ribosomal RNA", at positions 419 to 675 of the family's 3401-position model. The record is from RNAcentral. Lineage: Eukaryota; Fungi; Basidiomycota; Agaricomycetes; Agaricales; Inocybaceae.